ACGAACGCUGGCGGCGUGCUUCACACAUGCAAGUCGAACGGAAAGGCCCUGCUUUUGUGGGGUGCUCGAGUGGCGAACGGGUGAGUAACACGUGAGUAACCUGCCCUUGACUUUGGGAUAACUUCAGGAAACUGGGGCUAAUACCGGAUAGGAGCUCCUGCUGCAUGGUGGGGGUUGGAAAGUUUCGGCGGUUGGGGAUGGACUCGCGGCUUAUCAGCUUGUUGGUGGGGUAGUGGCUUACCAAGGCUUUGACGGGUAGCCGGCCUGAGAGGGUGACCGGCCACAUUGGGACUGAGAUACGGCCCAGACUCCUACGGGAGGCAGCAGUGGGGAAUAUUGCACAAUGGGCGGAAGCCUGAUGCAGCAACGCCGCGUGCGGGAUGACGGCCUUCGGGUUGUAAACCGCUUUCGCCUGUGACGAAGCGUGAGUGACGGUAAUGGGUAAAGAAGCACCGGCGAACUACGU
This 466-nucleotide ribosomal RNA is filed under the name uncultured bacterium. RNAcentral's name for it is "partial 16S ribosomal RNA". It matches the Rfam family "Bacterial small subunit ribosomal RNA", at positions 29 to 506 of the family's 1533-position model. The record is from RNAcentral.